Molecule: unclassified non-coding RNA, 149 nt
Filed under: uncultured Collophora
Lineage: Eukaryota; Fungi; Ascomycota; Leotiomycetes
Description: sequence contains ITS2
Source: RNAcentral
CAACCCUCAAGCUCUGCUUGGUAUUGGGCCUCACCGGUUCUGGUGGGCCUUAAAAUCAGUGGCGGUGCCAUCCGGCUUCAAGCGUAGUAAUUCUUCUCGCUUCUGGAGUUCCGGGUGUGUGCUUGCCAUCAACCCCCAAUUAUAUCAAA